GACGAACGCUGGCGGCGUGCUUAACACAUGCAAGUCGAGCGAUGAAGUCUCUUCGGAGAUGGAUUAGCGGCGGACGGGUGAGUAACACGUGGGUAACCUGCCUCAUAGAGGGGAAUAGCCUUUCGAAAGGAAGAUUAAUACCCCAUAAGAUUGUAGUUUCGCAUGAAACAGCAAUUAAAGGAGUAAUCCGCUAUGAGAUGGACCCGCGUCGCAUUAGCUAGUUGGUGAGGUAACGGCUCACCAAGGCGACGAUGCGUAGCCGACCUGAGAGGGUGAUCGGCCACAUUGGGACUGAGACACGGCCCAGACUCCUACGGGAGGCAGCAGUGGGGAAUAUUGCACAAUGGGGGAAACCCUGAUGCAGCAACGCCGCGUGAGUGAUGACGGUCUUCGGAUUGUAAAGCUCUGUCUUCAGGGACGAUAAUGACGGUACCUGAGGAGGAAGCCACGGCUAACUACGUGCCAGCCGCCGCCGUAA
This 478-nucleotide ribosomal RNA is filed under the name uncultured bacterium. RNAcentral's name for it is "partial 16S ribosomal RNA". It matches the Rfam family "Bacterial small subunit ribosomal RNA", at positions 28 to 523 of the family's 1533-position model. The record is from RNAcentral.